Molecule: ribosomal RNA, 520 nt
Filed under: uncultured Glomus
Lineage: Eukaryota; Fungi; Glomeromycota; Glomeromycetes; Glomerales; Glomeraceae
Description: SSU rRNA
Rfam family: Eukaryotic small subunit ribosomal RNA
Source: RNAcentral
AGCAGCCGCGGUAAUUCCAGCUCCAAUAGCGUAUAUUAAAGUUGUUGCAGUUAAAAAGCUCGUAGUUGAAUUUCGGGGUUAGUAGGUUGGUCAUGCCUCUGGUAUGUACUGGUCUCACUGAUUCCUCCUUCCUGAUGAGCCGUAAUGCCAUUAAUUUGGUGUUGCGGGGAAUUUGGACUGUUACUUUGAAAAAAUUAGAGUGUUUAAAGCAAGCUAACGCUUGAAUACAUUAGCAUGGAAUAAUAAAAUAGGACGUUCGAUCCUAUUUUGUUGGUUUCUAGGAUUGACGUAAUGAUUAAUAGGGAUAGUUGGGGGCAUUAGUAUUCAAUUGUCAGAGGUGAAAUUCUUGGACUUAUUGAAGACUAACUACUGCGAAAGCAUUUGCCAAGGAUGUUUUCAUUAAUCAAGAACGAAAGUUAGGGGAUCGAAGACGAUCAGAUACCGUCGUAGUCUUAACCAUAAACUAUGCCGACUAGGGAUCGGAUGAUGUUAAUUUUUUCAAUGACUCACUCGGCGCCUU